Molecule: ribosomal RNA, 910 nt
Filed under: uncultured bacterium
Lineage: Bacteria
Description: bacterial SSU rRNA
Rfam family: Bacterial small subunit ribosomal RNA
Source: RNAcentral
AGAGUUUGAUCCUGGCUCAGGAUGAACGCUAGCGGCAGGCUUAAUACAUGCAAGUCGAGGGACAGCACAGGUAGUAAUACUGGGUGGUAACCGGCAAACGGGUGCGGAACACGUACACAACCUUCCUUUAAGUGGGGGAUAGCCCAGAGAAAUUUGGAUUAAUACCCCGUAACAUAGUGAACUGGCAUCAGUUUAUUAUUAUAGAUACGUCGCUUAAUGAUGGGUGUGCGUCUGAUUAGAUAGUUGGGGAGGUAACGGCUCACCAAGUCAACGAUCAGUAGCUGAUGUGAGAGCAUGAUCAGCCACACGGGCACUGAGACACGGGCCCGACUCCUACGGGAGGCAGCAGUAAGGAAUAUUGGUCAAUGGACGCAAGUCUGAACCAGCCAUGCCGCGUGAAGGAUUAAGGUCCUCUGGAUUGUAAACUUCUUUUAUUUGGGACGAAAAAGGGACUUUUUAGUUCAACUGACGGUACCAGAUGAAUAAGCACCGGCUAACUCCGUGCCAGCAGCCGCGGUAAUACGGAGGGUGCAAGCGUUAUCCGGAUUCACUGGGUUUAAAGGGUGCGUAGGCGGGCAGUUAAGUCAGUGGUGAAAUCCUAGAGCUUAACUCUAGAACUGCCAUUGAUACUAUCUGUCUUGAAUAUUGUGGAGGUAAGCGGAAUAUGUCAUGUAGCGGUGAAAUGCUUAGAUAUGACAUAGAACACCUAUUGCGAAGGCAGCUUACUACGCAUAUAUUGACGCUGAGGCACGAAAGCGUGGGGAUCAAACAGGAUUAGAUACCCUGGUAGUCCACGCCCUAAACUAUGAUUACUCGACAUUUGAGAUACACUUUAAGUGUCUGAGCGAAAGCAUUAAGUAAUCCACCUGGGAAGUACGUCCGCAAGGAUGAAACUUAAAGGAAUUGACGG